This 200-nucleotide unclassified non-coding RNA is filed under the name soil metagenome. Its description in RNAcentral is "partial contains 5.8S ribosomal RNA, internal transcribed spacer 2, and large subunit ribosomal RNA". The record is from RNAcentral.
GCGCCCUUUGGUAUUCCGAGGGGCAUGCCUGUCUGAGCGUCAGUGAACUUCACAGGAAAAGAAUUUGUAAAAGUUACUUGGAUUGUGAUUGAGUGUGACUUGUCUCACUUGAAAUGCAUCACGAUUGGUGUCAUAGGUUCGCCUCACCAAGAAUUUAACGUCUUGACCUCAGAUCAGGUAGGGUUACCCGCUGAACUUAA